RNAcentral lists this ribosomal RNA (253 nucleotides) under uncultured bacterium. RNAcentral describes it as "partial 16S ribosomal RNA". It matches the Rfam family "Bacterial small subunit ribosomal RNA", at positions 524 to 776 of the family's 1533-position model. The record is from RNAcentral.
UACAUGUGGGGCAAGCGUUGUUCGGAAUUACUGGGCAUAAAGGGUGCGUAGGCGGCUUGUUAAGUCAGGGGUGAAAGUUUUCGGCCCAACCGGAAAAUUGCCUUUGAUACUGGCGAGCUCGAGUGCGUGAGGGGUAACCGGAACGAGUCGUGUAGCGGUGAAAUGCGUUGAUAUCAGGAGGAACACCCAUGGCGAAGGCAGCAAACUGGUCAUCAACUGACGCUGAGGCGCGAAAGCGUGGGUAGCAAACAGG